Long non-coding RNA from Bos taurus (domestic cattle), 603 nucleotides. Lineage: Eukaryota; Metazoa; Chordata; Mammalia; Artiodactyla; Bovidae. The record is from Ensembl.
GGGUUGGGAAGAUCCCCCGGAGGAGGGCUUGGCAACCCACUCCAUAUUCUUGCCUGGAGAAUCCCAUGGACGGAGGAGCCUGGUGGGCUACAGUCCAUAGGGUCGCAGAGAGUUGGAUAUGACUGAAGGGACUGAGCAUGCACGCACUGUUUUAACAAGUGCAGGGACAGUUUUUCUUUAACAUCCUGGAAUAAGAAGUUUUAAUGAUGAAUGGUAAUCAUGGGAGAUGAAGGUGAAGAGAAAGGAAUUCAUAGGGCCUGGACUCCAUCUUAGGCCUGUUCAUGCUGAUCACGCUUGGCCACCUCUCCGAUGGACUCUGAACUCUGUGUUUAGUGCCUAUGAAAACAACAACAGAAGGAUAUGACCCCCUCCAGCCCGGAGAACCUUGAAGAUCGUAUCUAGGUUACUCAUCGUCUAAGAGAAAACAUACACUAAUCACCCCUUCCUCCAGAGAGACCAUAAAUUUUUCUGUAUCUAUUGGAGUGUAACCUCGGGUUUAUUGAUUAUUGGCUAAUUGUUUGAGCACAUGAGCACAUAGCACGUGAAUGAUGGGGUUAUUGGGAUUGUAUUUUCCUUGGUUUAUGUAUCUCAAGGAAUUUGGAG